AUUGAACGCUGGCGGCAUGCCUAACACAUGCAAGUCGAACGGCAGCAUGACAAGAGCUUGCUCUUGUUGAUGGCGAGUGGCGGACGGGUGAGUAAUAUGUAGGAAUCUACCUAGAGGUGCGGGAUAACUUAGGGAAACUUAAGCUAAUACCACAUAAGCCCUACGGGGGAAAGCAGGGGAGCUUCGGACCUUGCGCCUUAUGAUGAGCCUAAAUUGGAUUUGCUUGUUGGUGGGGUAAAGGCCUACCAAGGCGACGAUCCAUAGCUGGUCUGAGAGGAUGAUCAGCCACACUGGGACUGAGACACGGCCCAGACUCCUACGGGAGGCAGCAGUGGGGAAUAUUGGACAAUGGGGGCAACCCUGAUCCAGCAAUGCCGCGUGUGUGAAGAAGGCCUUAGGGUUGUAAAGCACUUUCAGUGGGGAGAAAGUUUGAGGUGAUAAUACCACCAUCAAAUUGAUGUUACCCACAGAAGAAGCACCGGCUAACUCUGUGCCAGCCGCCGCCGUAA
Molecule: ribosomal RNA, 509 nt
Filed under: uncultured bacterium
Lineage: Bacteria
Description: partial 16S ribosomal RNA
Rfam family: Bacterial small subunit ribosomal RNA
Source: RNAcentral